Molecule: ribosomal RNA, 1372 nt
Filed under: uncultured bacterium
Lineage: Bacteria
Description: bacterial SSU rRNA
Rfam family: Bacterial small subunit ribosomal RNA
Source: RNAcentral
GAUGAACGCUGGCGGCGUGCCUAAUACAUGCAAGUCGAGCGAACGGACGAGAAGCUUGCUUCUCUGAUGUUAGCGGCGGACGGGUGAGUAACACGUGGAUAACCUACCUAUAAGACUGGGAUAACUUCGGGAAACCGGAGCUAAUACCGGAUAAUAUUUUGAACCGCAUGGUUCAAAAGUGAAAGACGGUCUUGCUGUCACUUAUAGAUGGAUCCGCGCUGCAUUAGCUAGUUGGUAAGGUAACGGCUUACCAAGGCAACGAUGCAUAGCCGACCUGAGAGGGUGAUCGGCCACACUGGAACUGAGACACGGUCCAGACUCCUACGGGAGGCAGCAGUAGGGAAUCUUCCGCAAUGGGCGAAAGCCUGACGGAGCAACGCCGCGUGAGUGAUGAAGGUCUUCGGAUCGUAAAACUCUGUUAUUAGGGAAGAACAUAUGUGUAAGUAACUGUGCACAUCUUGACGGUACCUAAUCAGAAAGCCACGGCUAACUACGUGCCAGCAGCCGCGGUAAUACGUAGGUGGCAAGCGUUAUCCGGAAUUAUUGGGCGUAAAGCGCGCGUAGGCGGUUUUUUAAGUCUGAUGUGAAAGCCCACGGCUCAACCGUGGAGGGUCAUUGGAAACUGGAAAACUUGAGUGCAGAAGAGGAAAGUGGAAUUCCAUGUGUAGCGGUGAAAUGCGCAGAGAUAUGGAGGAACACCAGUGGCGAAGGCGACUUUCUGGUCUGUAACUGACGCUGAUGUGCGAAAGCGUGGGGAUCAAACAGGAUUAGAUACCCUGGUAGUCCACGCCGUAAACGAUGAGUGCUAAGUGUUAGGGGGUUUCCGCCCCUUAGUGCUGCAGCUAACGCAUUAAGCACUCCGCCUGGGGAGUACGACCGCAAGGUUGAAACUCAAAGGAAUUGACGGGGACCCGCACAAGCGGUGGAGCAUGUGGUUUAAUUCGAAGCAACGCGAAGAACCUUACCAAAUCUUGACAUCCUUUGACAACUCUAGAGAUAGAGCCUUCCCCUUCGGGGGACAAAGUGACAGGUGGUGCAUGGUUGUCGUCAGCUCGUGUCGUGAGAUGUUGGGUUAAGUCCCGCAACGAGCGCAACCCUUAAGCUUAGUUGCCAUCAUUAAGUUGGGCACUCUAAGUUGACUGCCGGUGACAAACCGGAGGAAGGUGGGGAUGACGUCAAAUCAUCAUGCCCCUUAUGAUUUGGGCUACACACGUGCUACAAUGGACAAUACAAAGGGCAGCGAAACCGCGAGGUCAAGCAAAUCCCAUAAAGUUGUUCUCAGUUCGGAUUGUAGUCUGCAACUCGACAACAUGAAGCUGGAAUCGCUAGUAAUCGUAGAUCAGCAUGCUACGGUGAAUACGUUCCCGGGUCU